GACGAACGCUGGCGGCGUGCUUAACACAUGCAAGUCGAACGAAGUGGCGAACGGGUGAGUAAUACGUGGGUAACCUGCCCUCCUUUUUGGGAUAAGCCUUGGAAACGGGGUCUAAUACCGAAUAAAGGGGGAUGGGCUCGCGGCCUAUCAGCUUGUUGGUGGGGUGAUGGCCUACCAAGGCGGUGACGGGUAGCCGGCCUGAGAGGGUGACCGGCAACAUGGGUGGUGAGAUAGGGCCCGUGCUCCUACGGGGGGCAGCAGUGGGGGUUAUGGAAAAAGGGGGGAAAGCGUGAUGAAGCGACGCCGCGUGGGGGAUGAAGGCUUUGGGGUUGUAAACCUCUUUCGCUAUAGAAAGGGUAGGGGGAGAAGAAGCGCCGGCUAACUACGUGCCAGCCGCCGCGGUAAUAC
RNAcentral lists this ribosomal RNA (408 nucleotides) under uncultured bacterium. RNAcentral's name for it is "partial 16S ribosomal RNA". It matches the Rfam family "Bacterial small subunit ribosomal RNA", at positions 28 to 526 of the family's 1533-position model. The record is from RNAcentral.